RNAcentral lists this small RNA (1039 nucleotides) under Pan troglodytes (chimpanzee). Its description in RNAcentral is "retained intron". Lineage: Eukaryota; Metazoa; Chordata; Mammalia; Primates; Hominidae. The record is from RNAcentral.
CCCAGACCCUGGAAGAAUACAGAGUGACGACGCAGGAACUGAGGCUGGAGAUUUCACGACUGGAGGAGCAGCUGAGUCAGACCUAUGAGGGGCCCGAUGAGCUACCUGAAGGGGCCCAGCUGAGAAGAGUGGGCUGGACCCAGCUGCUACCCCCAUCGCUGGGCUUGGAGAUCAAGGCCAUUCGACAGAAACAGGAAGUGGCAACUGCUGAUCUCUCCAACCCUCUGUGUGGGCUGUGGCAGUGGGAGGAAGUCAUCCAUGAGACCAGUGAGGAAACUGAGUUUCCAUCUGAAGCCCCAGCUGGGGGACAGAGAAACUUCCAGGGAGAGCCAGCGCACCCUGAAGAAGGAAGGAAGGAGCCAUCCAUGUGGUUGACCAGAAGAGAGGAAGAGGAGGAUGCAGAGAGCCAGGUCACGGUAGGCAGUCCCCAGCACCCCUCCCCAGUCCCCAUCCACUCCACACCCACAGAGGCUGAGUCGUUUCAACUCUUCCCAAGCCCCAGCCUCACACUCCAACUCCUCAGGAGCAGAGAGAAAAAUCAUUUGGCCAAGAGAUAACAAGGCCUUUGCUGUAGCUAAUGAGAGUGAUGGUGAGGUGGGGGGAGGCCUGGAGGCUAGUGGGCGGCCAGGCUGCUCCCAGGGGACCCUCCCAGCAACACACACAGGGCUGCAGCCACCACACCGCAGGCCUCAUAGACGUGGCUACACCCCCGGAUUGCAUAAAUGCACACGCACAUGCGCCCACACUCGGGAGAGGUUGGGCCAGCCCUCCCCAGCCAGCCUCAGAACUCCCUGGGGGCGCAGUGCCCACAGCCCCCCUGCCUGCAGCCACACAGGCCAGUUCCUCUGCUCCUCAGAGCCCAGUGCCCGGUGGGGGUUAAGAUUUCCAUUCUCAGGCAAGGACAGGGAAAGAAACUUGGUAAGGAGAGGUGAGAAGCCCUCAGUUGUGAGCUGAGGAAUGCAGGAGCUGGGCUGGAGUCUGCCUGUUGUGGGUCAGGCACUGUCAGGGCCCCUGGGGCUCUUCAGGGUCCAAACCGGCC